RNAcentral lists this ribosomal RNA (301 nucleotides) under uncultured bacterium. RNAcentral's name for it is "partial 16S ribosomal RNA". It matches the Rfam family "Bacterial small subunit ribosomal RNA", at positions 509 to 808 of the family's 1533-position model. The record is from RNAcentral.
CAGUAGCGCGGGAAUACGUAGGGCGCAAGCGUUAUCCGGAAUUAUUGGGCGUAAAGAGCUCGUAGGCGGUUUGUCGCGUCUGCCGUGAAAGUCCGGGGCUCAACCCCGGAUCUGCGGUGGGUACGGGCAGACUAGAGUGAUGUAGGGGAGACUGGAAUUCCUGGUGUAGCGGUGAAAUGCGCAGAUAUCAGGAGGAACACCGAUGGCGAAGGCAGGUCUCUGGGCAUUAACUGACGCUGAGGAGCGAAAGCAUGGGGAGCGAACAGGAUUAGAUACCCCAGUAGUCCCUGUCUCUUAUACA